GAUGAACGCUGGCGGCGUGCCUAAUACAUGCAAGUCGAGCGAACAGACGAGGAGCUUGCUCCUCUGACGUUAGCGGCGGACGGGUGAAUAACACGUGGAUAACCUACCUAUAAGACUGGGAUAACUUCGGGAAACCGGAGCUAAUACCGGAUAAUAUAUUGAACCGCAUGGUUCAAUAGUGAAAGACGGUUUUGCUGUCACUUAUAGAUGGAUCCGCGCCGCAUUAGCUAGUUGGUAAGGUAACGGCUUACCAAGGCAACGAUGCGUAGCUGACCUGAGAGGGUGAUCGGCCACACUGGAACUGAGACACGGUCCAGACUCCUACGGGAGGCAGCAGUAGGGAAUCUUCCGCAAUGGGCGAAAGCCUGACGGAGCAACGCCGCGUGAGUGAUGAAGGUCUUCGGAUCGUAAAACUCUGUUAUUAGGGAAGAACAAAUGUGUAAGUAACUAUGCACGUCUUGACGGUACCUAAACAGAAAGCCACGGCUAACUACGUG
This 497-nucleotide ribosomal RNA is filed under the name uncultured bacterium. Its description in RNAcentral is "partial 16S ribosomal RNA". It matches the Rfam family "Bacterial small subunit ribosomal RNA", at positions 28 to 507 of the family's 1533-position model. The record is from RNAcentral.